This 880-nucleotide ribosomal RNA is filed under the name uncultured bacterium. Its description in RNAcentral is "bacterial SSU rRNA". It matches the Rfam family "Bacterial small subunit ribosomal RNA", at positions 11 to 886 of the family's 1533-position model. The record is from RNAcentral.
GUUUGAUCAUGGCUCAGGAUGAACGCUAGCGGGAGGCUUAACACAUGCAAGUCGAGGGGCAGCAUAAGGGUAGCAAUACUCUGGUGGCGACCGGCAGACGGGUGAGUAACGCGUAUGCAACCUACCCUGUACAGGGGGAUAACCCGGAGAAAUUCGGACUAAUACCCCAUAAUUUUAUUUAAGGGCAUCCUUGAAUAAUUAAAGAUCCGUCGGUACGGGAUGGGCAUGCGUAACAUUAGCUAGUUGGUAAGGUAACGGCUUACCAAGGCUAUGAUGUUUAGGGGUCCUGAGAGGGUGAUCCCCCACACUGGUACUGAGACACGGACCAGACUCCUACGGGAGGCAGCAGUGAGGAAUAUUGGUCAAUGGGCGCAAGCCUGAACCAGCCAUCCCGCGUGCAGGAAGACGGCCCUAUGGGUUGUAAACUGCUUUUCCGAAAGGCGAAACUUAGCGACGUGUCGUUAAUUGACGGUAUUUCGGGAAUAAGCAUCGGCUAACUCCGUGCCAGCAGCCGCGGUAAUACGGAGGAUGCGAGCGUUAUCCGGAUUCAUUGGGUUUAAAGGGUGCGUAGGCGGACUAAUAAGUCAGUGGUGAAAUCCUGCAGCUUAACUGCAGAACUGCCAUUGAUACUGUUAGUCUUGAGUUUGGUUAAGGUAGGCGGAAUGUGUAAUGUAGCGGUGAAAUGCUUAGAUAUUACACAGAACACCAAUUGCGUGGGCAGCUUACUGGACCGACACUGACGCUGAGGCACGAAAGCGUGGGGAUCGAACAGGGUUAGAUACCCUGGUAGUCCACGCCGUAAACGAUGAUUACUCGCUGUUGGCGAUACACAGUCAGCGGCUAAGCAAAAGCAAUAAGUAAUCCACCUGGGGAGUACGGC